GAUGAACGCUGGCGGCGUGCCUAAUACAUGCAAGUCGAGCGAACGGACGAGAAGCUUGCUUCUCUGAUGUUAGCGGCGGACGGGUGAGUAACACGUGGAUAACCUACCUAUAAGACUGGGAUAACUUCGGGAAACCGGAGCUAAUACCGGAUAAUAUUUUGAACCGCAUGGUUCAAAGGUGAAAGACGGUCUUGCUGUCACUUAUAGAUGGAUCCGCGCUGCAUUAGCUAGUUGGUAAGGUAACGGCUUACCAAGGCAACGAUGCAUAGCCGACCUGAGAGGGUGAUCGGCCACACUGGAACUGAGACACGGUCCAGACUCCUACGGGAGGCAGCGGUAGGGAAUCUUCCGCAAUGGGCGAAAGCCUGACGGAGCAACGCCGCGUGAGUGAUGAAGGUCUUCGGAUCGUAAAACUCUGUUAUUAGGGAAGAACAUAUGUGUAAGUAACUGUGCACAUCUUGACGGUACCUAAUCAGAAAGCCACGGCUAACUACGUG
RNAcentral lists this ribosomal RNA (497 nucleotides) under uncultured bacterium. RNAcentral's name for it is "partial 16S ribosomal RNA". It matches the Rfam family "Bacterial small subunit ribosomal RNA", at positions 28 to 507 of the family's 1533-position model. The record is from RNAcentral.